GACGAACGCUGGCGGCGUGCCUAAUACAUGCAAGUCGAACGCUGAAGCUUGGUGCUUGCACCGAGCGGAUGAGUUGCGAACGGGUGAGUAACGCGUAGGUAACCUGCCUGGUAGCGGGGGAUAACUAUUGGAAACGAUAGCUAAUACCGCAUAAUAGUAGAUGUUGCAUGACAUUUGCUUAAAAGGUGCAAUUGCAUCACUACCAGAUGGACCUGCGUUGUAUUAGCUAGUUGGUGAGGUAACGGCUCACCAAGGCAACGAUACAUAGCCGACCUGAGAGGGUGAGCGGCCACACUGGGACUGAGACACGGCCCAGACUCCUACGGGAGGCAGCAGUAGGGAAUCUUCGGCAAUGGACGGAAGUCUGACCGAGCAACGCCGCGUGAGUGAAGAAGGUUUUCGGAUCGUAAAGCUCUGUUGUAAGAGAAGAACGAGUGUGAGAGUGGAAAGUUCACACUGUGACGGUAUCUUACCAGAAAGGGACGGCUAACUACGUG
Molecule: ribosomal RNA, 497 nt
Filed under: uncultured bacterium
Lineage: Bacteria
Description: partial 16S ribosomal RNA
Rfam family: Bacterial small subunit ribosomal RNA
Source: RNAcentral